AUGAACGCUAGCUACAGGCUUAACACAUGCAAGUCGAGGGGCAGCAUGAACUUAGCUUGCUAAGUUUGAUGGCGACCGGCGCACGGGGUGAGUAACACGUAUCCAACCUGCCGAUGACUCGGGGAUAGCCUUUCGAAAGAAAGAUUAAUACCCGAUGGCAUAGUUCUUCCGCAUGGUAGAACUAUUAAAGAAUUUCGGUCAUCGAUGGGGAUGCGUUCCAUUAGGUUGUUGGCGGGGUAACGGCCCACCAAGCCUUCGAUGGAUAGGGGUUCUGAGAGGAAGGUCCCCCACAUUGGAACUGAGACACGGUCCAAACUCCUACGGGAGGCAGCAGUGAGGAAUAUUGGUCAAUGGACGAGAGUCUGAACCAGCCAAGUAGCGUGAAGGAUGACUGCCCUAUGGGUUGUAAACUUCUUUUAUACGGGAAUAAAGUGAGGCACGUGUGCCUUUUUGUAUGUACCGUAUGAAUAAGGAUCGGCUAACUCCGUGCCAGCAGCCGCGGUAAUACGGAGGAUCCGAGCGUUAUCCGGAUUUAUUGGGUUUAAAGGGAGCGUAGGCGGACGCUUAAGUCAGUUGUGAAAGUUUGCGGCUCAACCGUAAAAUUGCAGUUGAUACUGGGUGUCUUGAGUACAGUAGAGGCAGGCGGAAUUCGUGGUGUAGCGGUGAAAUGCUUAGAUAUCACGAAGAACUCCGAUUGCGAAGGCAGCCUGCUGGACUGUA
This 720-nucleotide ribosomal RNA is filed under the name uncultured Bacteroidales bacterium. Its description in RNAcentral is "bacterial SSU rRNA". It matches the Rfam family "Bacterial small subunit ribosomal RNA", at positions 29 to 738 of the family's 1533-position model. Lineage: Bacteria; Pseudomonadati; Bacteroidota; Bacteroidia; Bacteroidales. The record is from RNAcentral.